RNAcentral lists this ribosomal RNA (1495 nucleotides) under metagenome. Its description in RNAcentral is "bacterial SSU rRNA". It matches the Rfam family "Bacterial small subunit ribosomal RNA". The record is from RNAcentral.
GAGUUUGAUCCUGGCUCAGAUUGAACGCUGGCGGUAUGCUUAACACAUGCAAGUCGAACGGUAACAGCAGAGCUUGCUCUGGCUGACGAGUGGCGGACGGGUGCGUAACGCGUGGGAAUCUACCUUAUAGUGGGGGAUAGCCCGGAGAAAUCCGGAUUAAUACCGCAUAAGCCCUAUGGGGGAAAAGGGGCCUCUCCUUGGAAGCUCUUGCUAUUAGAUGAGCCCGCGUAAGAUUAGCUUGUUGGUGGGGUAAUGGCCUACCAAGGCGACGAUCUUUAGCUGGUCUGAGAGGAUGAUCAGCCACACUGGGACUGAGACACGGCCCAGACUCCUACGGGAGGCAGCAGUGAGGAAUAUUGGACAAUGGGCGCAAGCCUGAUCCAGCAAUACCGCGUGUGUGAAGAAGGCCUGAGGGUUGUAAAGCACUUUCAAUUGUGAUGAAAAGCCUUAAAUUAAUACUUUAGGGUCUUGACGUUAACUUUAGAAGAAGCACCGGCUAACUCCGUGUUAGCAGUUGCGGUAAUACGGAGGGUGCAAGCGUUAAUCGGAAUUACUGGGCGUAAAGCGCACGUAGGCGGUUAGGUAAGUCAGAUGUGAAAGCCCCGGGCUCAACCUGGGAACUGCAUUUGAUUCUGCUUAACUAGAGUAUAGCAGAGGCAAGUGGAAUUCCAGGUGUAGCGGUGAAAUGCGUAGAUAUCUGGAGGAACAUCAGUGGCGAAGGCGACUUGCUGGACUAAUACUGACGCUGAGGUGCGAAAGCGUGGGGAGCAAUCAGGAUUAGAUACCCUGGUAGUCCACGCCGUAAACGAUGUCAACUAGUCGUUGGGAGCAUUUAAGCUUUUAGUGGCGCAGCUAACGCAUUAAGUUGACCGCCUGGGGAGUACGCGCGCAAGCGUAAAACUCAAAGGAAUUGACGGGGGCCCGCACAAGCGGUGGAGCAUGUGGUUUAAUUCGAUGCAACGCGAAGAACCUUACCAGCCCUUGACAUCCUGCGAACUUUCUAGAGAUAGAUUGGUGCCUUUGGGAACGCAGUGACAGGUGCUGCAUGGCUGUCGUCAGCUCGUGUUGUGAGAUGUUGGGUUAAGUCCCGCAACGAGCGCAACCCUUGUCCUUAGUUGCCAGCACGUAAUGGUGGGAACUCUAAGGAGACUGCCGGUGAUAAACCGGAGGAAGGUGGGGAUGACGUCAAGUCAUUAUGGCCCUUAUGGGCUGGGCUACACACGUGCUACAAUGGCAAGUACAGAGGGCUGCAAUCCCGCGAGGGGGAGCCAAUCCCACAAAGCUUGUCUUAGUCCGGAUUGGAGUCUGCAACUCGACUCCAUGAAGUCGGAAUCGCUAGUAAUCGUAGAUCAGCACUGCUACGGUGAAUACGUUCCCGGGCCUUGUACACACCGCCCGUCACACCAUGGGAGUGGGUUGCAAAAGAAGUGAGUAGCUUAAUAAUGGGCGCUCACCACUUUGUGAUUCAUGACUGGGGUGAAGUCGUAACAAGGUA